This 264-nucleotide ribosomal RNA is filed under the name Bacillus safensis. RNAcentral's name for it is "partial 16S ribosomal RNA". It matches the Rfam family "Bacterial small subunit ribosomal RNA", at positions 552 to 797 of the family's 1533-position model. The record is from RNAcentral. Lineage: Bacteria; Bacillati; Bacillota; Bacilli; Caryophanales; Bacillaceae.
CGGACGGUCCGUGUCGGAUAUUGGGCGUAAGGGCUCGCAGGCGGUUUCUUAAGUCUGAUGUGAAAGCCCCCGGCUCAACCGGGGAGGGUCAUUGGAAACUGGGGAACUUGAGUGCAGAAGAGGAGAGUGGAAUUCCACGUGUAGCGGUGAAAUGCGUAGAGAUGUGGAGGAACACCAGUGGCGAAGGCGACUCUCUGGUCUGUAACUGACGCUGAGGAGCGAAAGCGUGGGGAGCGAACAGGAUUAGAUACCCCCGUAGUCCCA